ACCUUGGUGGCUUAGUUGGUAGAGCGCUGGAGUAUUGAUCCAGAGGCCGUGAGUUCAAGUCUCACUUAAGGCA
Non-coding RNA from Cydia pomonella (codling moth), 73 nucleotides. The record is from the annotation of a RefSeq genome assembly. Lineage: Eukaryota; Metazoa; Arthropoda; Insecta; Lepidoptera; Tortricidae.